AGCUGCCCUUACAGCUGCUGUGGAUGCUCCAUGGUGCCCACGAAGAGGAAAAGUACGUGACUGGGGAGCAGUGGGAAACAGGUUUUGUCCAAAGAUAUUUUAAUCAUUAUCACUCGUCACUCCAAAAUGGUCAGACACAGUUCAGAGCUGUAUUCUUCCUGUGAUUUUUGUUGGUCAACAGAGGGCCAGAGACAGAUCUGUACAUCACUUCAGUCCAACAAACCCUGUUGUGAGAGGCUUCCCUGGCAUUUAAGUGAGAUCCAUCACUGUAACAUGCACCUCCCAAGUGUUAUCACUGAAUUGUUUGCCAGCGUAUGUCUGAAUCAAAGAGAAGGGGCAGAAAGUGUCCUGGCUGAUGUGCAACCUUUUAAUGAUUUUCUUCUGCAAUCACUCACAGAAUGCCAUUUGAGGAGCUGUGAAAGAAUGACUUUUAAAACCCAAGCCAUUCUAUGAUUCUGUGAUUGUAAAACAAGACCUCAGACCUUCAUGAUCAUUUUCUUUACAUCAAAAGCUCAUUCUGAAUCUCAAGUGUAUUAAUUGCUCAAUCUUGUUAAUUCUUCAGUCCAAAAAAAAAAAAAAAAAAAAAAAAAAAAGAAUUAAUCCAAAACAAAAAGAACCCAAAUCUUUGAAAAAUAACCUAACUAGUCAGUGAUCCCAGCUAGUUGGAUUAGUGAUCAGGCUUGAUCACAGGUACUCAAAAUAUUCUCUUCUGUGACUGCUGUGACUAAUGUAUCAGGGCAGAAAUGAGUACUGCCUUGAAUUACUUUCCCACCAAAUUAAAGGCAUUGAGUUGCCAAUAUAUCUCAGGCUUUUCAUUAAAUGCCGCUGAAAUCUGCAUCUUAAAAUCGUGGAG
This 853-nucleotide long non-coding RNA is filed under the name Gallus gallus (chicken). RNAcentral's name for it is "lncRNA (ENSGALG00010008740.1)". Lineage: Eukaryota; Metazoa; Chordata; Aves; Galliformes; Phasianidae. The record is from RNAcentral.